AACGAACGCUGGCGGCAGGCUUAACACAUGCAAGUCGAACGCCCCGCAAGGGGAGUGGCAGACGGGUGAGUAACGCGUGGGAACCUACCCAGUUCUACGGAACAACUGAGGGAAACUUCAGCUAAUACCGUAUACGCCCUACGGGGGGAAAGAUUUAUCGGAAUUGGAUGGGCCCGCGUUGGAUUAGCUAGUUGGUGAGGUAAUGGCUCACCAAGGCAACGACGGGUAGCCGGCCUGAGAGGGCGACCGGCCACACUGGGACUGAGACACGGCCCAGACUCCUACGGGAGGCAGCAGUGGGGAAUAUUGGGCAAUGGACGCAAGUCUGACCCAGCGACGCCGCGUGCGGGAUGAAGGCCUUAGGGUUGUAAACCGCUUUCAGCAGGGAAGAAGCGAAAGUGACGGUACCUGCAAAAGAAGCACCGGCUAACUAUGUG
RNAcentral lists this ribosomal RNA (437 nucleotides) under uncultured bacterium. RNAcentral describes it as "bacterial SSU rRNA". It matches the Rfam family "Bacterial small subunit ribosomal RNA", at positions 29 to 507 of the family's 1533-position model. The record is from RNAcentral.